UGCAGGUGCUGCAGUUAAAGCUCGUAGUUGAUUUCGGGCCUAGCUGGGUGGUCUAGCUUAACGGUUAGUACUACUUUGGCUGGGUCUUUCCUUCUGGCCAACCAGUGUGUCCUUAACUGGGUGCGCUGGGGCUCCAGGACUUUUACUGUGAAAAAAUUAGAGUGUUUAAAGCAGGCUUACGCUUGAAUACAUUAGCAUGGAAUAUUAGAAUAGGACUUUGGUUCUAUUUUGUUGGUUUCUAGGACCGAAGUAAUGAUUAAUAGGGAUAGUUGGGGGCAUUAGUAUUUAAUUGUCAGAGGUGAAAUUCUUGGAUUUAUGAAAGACUAACUUCUGCGAAAGCAUUUGCCAAGGAUGUUUUCAUUAAUCAAGAACGAAACAAGGGGGAUCGAAGACGAUCAGAUACCGUCGUAGUCUCUUGCGUAAACGAUGCCGACUAGGGAUCGGACGAUGUUAUUUAUUGACUCGUUCGGCACCUUAUGAGAAAUCAAAGUUUUUGGGUUCCGGGGGGAGUAUGGUCGCAAGGCUGAAACUUAAAGGAAUUGACGGAAGGGCACCACCAGGAGUGGAGCCUGCGGCUUAAUUUGACUCAACACGGGGAAACUCACCAGGUCCAGACAUAGUAAGGAUUGACAGAUUGAGAGCUCUUUCUUGAUUCUAUGGGUGGUGGUGCAUGGCCGUUCUUAGUUGGUGGAGUGAUUUGUCUGGUUAAUUCCGAUAACGAACGAGACCUUAACCUGCUAAAUAGUUAUAUUCACUCUGGUGGAUACCUAACUUCUUAGAGGGACUAUGGAUGUUUAAUCCAUGGAAGUUUGAGGCAAUAACAGGUCUGUGAUGCCCCUAGAUGUUCUGGGCCGCACGCGCGCUACACUGAUGAAGUCAACGAGUAUUCACCUUGGCUGGAAAGUCUGGGUAAUCUUGUGAAACUUUAUCGUGCUGGGGAUAGUCACUUGUAAUUUUGACUUGAACGAGGAAUUCCUAGUAAGCGUGAGUCAUCAGCUCGCGUUGAUUACGUCCCUGCCCUUUGUACACACCGCCCGUCGUUACUACCGAUUGAAUGGCUUAGUGAGACCUCCGGAUUGUGGCCUAUGACCGGCAACGGAAACGCGCUACUGAGAAGCUGGUCAAACUUGGUCAUUUAGAGGAAG
Molecule: ribosomal RNA, 1145 nt
Filed under: uncultured Chytridiomycetes
Lineage: Eukaryota; Fungi; Chytridiomycota; Chytridiomycetes
Description: SSU rRNA
Rfam family: Eukaryotic small subunit ribosomal RNA
Source: RNAcentral